Molecule: non-coding RNA, 2137 nt
Organism: Malus domestica (apple)
Lineage: Eukaryota; Viridiplantae; Streptophyta; Magnoliopsida; Rosales; Rosaceae
Source: RefSeq, a predicted model, not a curated record
UUUGCUCUCCGCAAGUGUUGCCAUUGUCGUCGGUACUAGCAAUUCCUCCCCACGUUCUUCAAAACUUUAACCCCACAGCUCCUUUUCCAUUUCUUCCCCACCUCUCUCUCUCUCUCUCCUCUCUCUCUCCCUCUCCCUACAAAACCUUCAUCUUCGACGUUUCUGCUAAUCAGUUCAUGUUAUUUCUAAUAUCAGGAAGAGCUUCCGUAGGCAGUCAUGGUGAUCAGCACUACCAGUGUGAUUGACCAUGAAUUUCAGAAUGAAUUAUGUGAAAAUGGUUUCAAUCCUCCCAAAAAUGUGGAAGAAGAUUUAGCGAUGACGGAAAAUCGAAAAGAACUGGGACAGUGUGGACUGCUUGUGCGCACAUAAUCACAACAUCAGUUGGUGCUGGAGUGCUCUCUCUGGCAUGGGCAAUGGCUCAACUUGGCUGGCUUGGUGGCAUUUCCAUUCUCUUGUUUUGCACAUUUGGUGCACUUUAUGCUGCCACUCUCUUAGCAGAUUGCUACAGAUUUCCAGACCCAGUCACUGGCAAGAGAAAUUACUCUUACAUGGAGGCUGUCAAAGCCUAUUUAGGUGGAACAAUUUACAAGUUCUGUGGAUGGAUGAUAUAUUUAAAUCUUGCUACCAUUGGAGUUGGCUUUACAAUAACUACGGUAAAGAGCAUGAUGUAAGUUUUUCUUUAUUUGUGGAGGAGGAAUCGGGACAUUAAUAUCACUAGACUAAUAGCUAAUAUGAAUUUUUACAUGAAUUUGAGUAAUCAGUGCCAUAUAGAAACCGAAUUGCCAUCGCAAAAAUGGUGGUGAUGACCCAUGCAAGUUCUCCAACAUUCCUCAUGUGAUUGGAUUUGGAAUUGUAGAAAUUUUCUUAUCACAACUCCCAAACUUUCACAAGCUCUCUGGGCUCUCAAAGGUUGCAGCAAUUAUGUCUUUUGGGUAUGCCUUUAUCGGAAUUGGACUUUCCAUGACAAAAAUCAUAUCGGGUAAGUAACUCCUUUCCACAAAAUCUGAAACCUCACCUCCCAAAAUGAAAAAUGAGAACGACAUGGAAAGGUAUCGAACAAUGGAGAAAUUCUUAUGCAUGGACGUUCGUAUAAUGCACCAUUCACACAAAAGGUGGGCUCCUUUGCAUGCAUGUUGGUUCCAUUUGAUCCCACUUUUUGUGUCAAUAGUGCCGCUUACUGACGAACAUAAGAAUUCUCCACACUAGGUUUAAAGUAUGAUUUAAAAUAAGAAAAAAAAAAAUUUGCUUGAGCAGGGCAUGGAGGAAAAACCUCUCUUGCAGGAGUGGACCUGCCUUUAUCUGAAAAAAAUUGGAGGAUGUUUGCAGCAGCUGGAGACAUGGCCUUUGCUUGCUCAUAUGCCCUAGUACUUUUGGAUAUCCAAGACACUCUAAAGUCAUCGCCACCAGAAAACAAAGUGAUGAAGAAGGCUGUGUCAAUAAGGGGUUUGGUUAUGUUAAUAUUAUUCAUGAUGUGUGUGGUCCGUUGGGAUAUGCUGCAUUUGGAGAUAAGACCCCAGAAAACCUAAUGGCUGGCGGUUUUGGAGAUGAUAUAGCCUUCUGGCUCGUUGAUACGUACGGCUAAUGUUUUUAUUGUGGUGCACAUAGUUGGUGCAUAUCAGUGUUUCGAGUUAUUGAACUAUUGGCUAGAAGGAGGUGGCCCAAGUCCAAGUUCAUAAACAGGGAGAUCCCAAUCAGACUUGGGAAGGUAAAGUUGAACAUGAACAUGUUUAGGCUGUCAUGGAGGACAGCCUAUGGAGUGUUGGUCUCAUUUCUUGCCAUAGCUCUGCCAUUCUUCUCCGACAUGCUGGGCCUUCUUGGAGCCCUAGGUUACUGGCCACUCAUAGUUUACAUUCCAGUGGAGAUGCACAUUGUGCAAAACAAGAUUGCAAAAGGUACAAUUAGAUGGUUUGAGCUCCAAUUGCUGAGCCUUUUGUGCUUGAUUCUUUCUUUGGCUGCAGCAUCUGGUGCCAUUCAUGGUCUGUAUAAGGGUCUCAAAGCCUACAAGGCCUUCCAAAUUAAAGAGUGAAGUGACCCGAAAGUUAGCAUAUGCUUCGAUAUCGGCAUAUAGCUUAUGUGUAUUAGAUAAAAGGAUUUUGCUAAAAAAAAAAAAAAAAAAAAAAAAGACAUUUGCCUUCGC